Molecule: ribosomal RNA, 400 nt
Filed under: uncultured bacterium
Lineage: Bacteria
Description: partial 16S ribosomal RNA
Rfam family: Bacterial small subunit ribosomal RNA
Source: RNAcentral
CCUACGGGUGGCAGCAGUGAGGAAUAUUGGUCAAUGGACGCAAGUCUGAACCAGCCACGCCGCGUGCAGGAAGACGGUUCUAUGAGUUGAAAACUGCUUUUGUACGGAGGAAAACGCAGAUACGUGUAUCUGUCUGCACGUACUGUACCAAUAACGAGCGGCUAACUCAGUUACAGCAGCCGCGGUAAUACGGAGGAUUCAAGCGUUAUCCGGAUUUAUUGGGUGGAAAGGGUGCGUAGGCGGUCGGAUAAGUUAGAGGUGAAAUCCCGAGGCUCAACUUCGGAAUUGCCUCUGAUAGUGUGCGCCUAGAGGGUAGUUGAGGUAAGGGGAAUGCAUGGUGUAGCGGUGAAAUGCGUAGAGAUCAUGCAGAACACCAGUGGCGAAGGCAGCUUUCCGGGCU